GACGAACGCUGGCGGCGCGCUUAACACAUGCAAGUCGAACGGAAAGGCCUGCUUUCCCUUGUGGAUUGCGGGUACUCGAGUGGCGAACGGGUGAGUAACACGUGAGUGAUCUGCCCCCACCUUGGGUAUAAGCCUGGGAAACUGGGUCUAAUUCCCGAUAGGACUGCAGGGUGGUGCCUGUGGUGGAAAACGAUUUUCUAGUGGUUGGGGAUGAGCUCGCGGCCUAUCAGCUUGUUGGUGGGGUAAUGGCCUACCAAGGCGGCGACGGGUAGCCGGCCUGAGAGGGUGGACGGGCACAUUGGGACUGGGAUACGGCCCAGACUCCUACGGGGGGCAGCAGUGGGGAGUAUUGCACAAUGGGCGGAAGCCUGAUGCAGCGACGCCGCGUGGGGGAUGACGGCCUUCGGGUUGUAAACUCCUUUCGACCGCGAGGAAGCCACCUGGUUGGAAGGGUGGUGACGGUAGUGGUAGAAGAAGCACCGGCUAACUACGUG
This 494-nucleotide ribosomal RNA is filed under the name uncultured bacterium. RNAcentral describes it as "partial 16S ribosomal RNA". It matches the Rfam family "Bacterial small subunit ribosomal RNA", at positions 28 to 507 of the family's 1533-position model. The record is from RNAcentral.